Molecule: ribosomal RNA, 468 nt
Filed under: uncultured bacterium
Lineage: Bacteria
Description: partial 16S ribosomal RNA
Rfam family: Bacterial small subunit ribosomal RNA
Source: RNAcentral
GACGAACGCUGGCGGCGGGCUUAACACAUGCAAGUCGAACGGAAAGGCCCUGCUUUUGUGGGGUGCUCGAGUGGCGAACGGGUGAGUAACACGUGAGUAACCUGCCCUUGACUUUGGGAUAACUUCAGGAAACUGGGGCUAAUACCGGAUAGGAGCGCCUGCUGCAUGGUGGGGGUUGGAAAGUUUCGGCGGUUGGGGGUGGACUCCCGGCUUAUUAGCUUGUUGGGGGGGUAGUGGCUUACCAAGGCUUUGAUGGGUAGCCGGCCUGAGAGGGUGACCAGCCACCUUGGGGCUGAGAUACGGCCCAGACUCCUACGGGAGGCAGAAGUGGGGAAUAUUGCACAAUGGGCGGAAGCCUGAUGCAGCAACGCCGCGUGCGGGAUGAAGGCCUUCGGGUUGUAAACCGCUUUCGCCUGUGACGAAGCGUGAGUGACGGUAAUGGGUAAAGAAGCACCGGCUAACUACGUG